Molecule: transfer RNA, 76 nt
Filed under: Microgenomates bacterium OLB23
Lineage: Bacteria; Candidatus Microgenomatota
Description: tRNA-Arg
Rfam family: tRNA
About the family: Transfer RNA (tRNA) molecules are approximately 80 nucleotides in length.
Source: RNAcentral
UGCCUCUGUAGCUUAAUGGAUAGAGUACGUGGCUUCGAACCAUGUGAUGGGGGUUCGAUUCCCUCCAGAGGCACCC